This 4410-nucleotide long non-coding RNA is filed under the name Homo sapiens (human). RNAcentral's name for it is "HSALNT0140798". Lineage: Eukaryota; Metazoa; Chordata; Mammalia; Primates; Hominidae. The record is from RNAcentral.
UGGCUGCUAAGUGACUAACAGUCAGGGAGCGUGUCCACAGCAUGGGUAUGCUGGACAAAGGGAGGAUUCACAUCUCAGGAAGGACAGUGAGAGGUUUCAUCACGCUAUUCAGAACAGUGUGCAAUUUAAAACUUAUGAAUUGCUUAUUUCUGGAAUUUUCCAUUUAAUAUUUUUGGACUACUGUUGAGGAGAGUGAACCUGUGGAUAAGGGGGACUACUGUACCUUUAAGUUUAUUCAUAUUUUUGGAACACAGUGUGGGAAUGAGAAGUAGGGAGUAGAAGAAGAUAGGUCUGGGGAGUAGGAAGAGGCCUUGUUUUCCAUGCUGAGCAGCUUGAACUUUGUUCUAGAAGUUUCUCAAAGUGAUGCCUAGAGUCCAACUGGAAAUAAAUAAAGUUUAACAAGCAAGCCUUUUUGAGAAUGACAGCAGUGGAUAAUAAGAAACCUGCACAGACUUGCAUUUUGAAAGACCACUCAAGACUUGCAGUGUCUGGAAAAAAACAGCUAGGUUGCUCAGAUCAAUCUUCCAGCUGAAAUCAAAGAAAAAUGAAAUGUUGUAGAAACAACAACUUAAGGCCAGGUGUGGUGGCUUAUACCUAUAAUCCCAGCACUUUGGGAGGCCAAGGAAGGGAGGAUUGUUUGAGGCCAGGAGUUCAAGACCAGCCUGGAUGACAUAGCAAGACCCCAUCUCUACCAGAAACCAGUAAGGGGGCAACUCAAAAAUACUGAAGAGCAGAAAAGAUAAGAGGAACUUCCCAGGCUAAUUUUUGGAUGAAAACCCAUAACCAGAAAGAGAGGCUGUGAUUCCUGGAAUGUUUAAUGUGGCGGUUGAUUGGACUUAUGCCUUUGGUCAGCAGCUCAAAGAAUGCUACAAUUCACUCUUCUACAAAGCAGACAUCCAGCCUUGAUACCCAACCCAGAACUCUGAAAGAAUGAAAAUUUGCCAUCUCUAGCAGGUGGAAUUAUCACCAGGCACUGAGAAGUGUACAGAAAGACUCCAACUGCCCGAGAUUCCCAGAGAAGCAGAACACACAGAGCCACGACGAGAACUCAGGAUGGAAUAAACUUCCAGGUCCAUGUGAGCUUCCAGGACCCAGCCCACAUCUGCCAACCCACCGUGUCCUCUGCUUCAUGUUUACCCUGCAUCCUUUUCACUGAUGCCUUCAAAUAUCCGUGUGUGCACGGGAACAGUGGUUAUGCUGCCAAUUUAAAGAACCAAGGCUUCAGAGGAAAGGAAACUCAUGCGUGCCCCCACCACCGACUCCCCGGUUCCUGCUGGUUAUUUGUAAAAGUUAUUCACAGGAGGAAGAGAAAGAGCCUUCGUGUGUGAUUCCCUGCUCACAUCACGGUGGGGUGAACCAAGGUUCUCUGUGCAGCUUCCUCCACCAUCUGUUCGCACUGCCUUCUAUCGGAGACUUGGCAGGGAAACACUCACUGUUUUUCAUCCCAACUCAAAGACAGUGAGAUUUUUCAUACCUGCACAGGAACCAUGCAAGUUGUGAUUGAAAAGAGCAUCAUGGGAUGCAAACAGAAAGAAAAGCGGUGAAGGCGCCAAGCUGCGGAUUCUAACAGCUUCCAGAACGCUUGGCCAUAAGUGGCCGUCAGACUGCGGAGUUCCAUUUCCUUCUUUUCUUUACAGGUUAAACUCUGUCAAAUUUGAUCCAACUCCAACCCAAACUUCUGUUGAAUGAAAUGAUUGUUUUCUAAGCUCCAGCUGGUAGCGAACUCAUUCUGAGACAUAUUCAGUAUAACUGAACCGCAGUGUAACAUAAGGGGGUGCCUUGGCCUGAAUUUUCCUUUCCUUCCUCUGGUUCUCAGUCCCCUUCUUCUCUUCCUCCCUUCCUUCUCACCUCUUUCUUUUCAGGGUUUUUUUUUUUUUUAAACCCUUUGUUAAGUUCACUUUUCAGGCCUCAUUUCUGCUUCAUUUUCUUUUUUUUUUUUUUUUUUGAGAUGGACUCUCACUCUGUCACCCAGGCUGUAGUGCAGUGGCACAAUCUCGGCUCACUGCAACCUCUGCCUCCCAGAUUCAAGCAAAUCUCCUGCCUCAGCCUCCUGAGUAGCUGGGAUGACAGGUAUGUGCCACCAUGCCCAGCUAAUUUUGUAUUUUUAGUAGAGAAGGGGUUUCACCACGUUGGCCAGGCUGGUCUCGAACUCCUGACCUCAGGUGAUCCACCCGCCUUAGCCACCACGUCCAGCCUUCUUCAUGUUCUAGACGUCUUUCACCCUUUCCUAUCUUCACCCUCACUUAUUUACACUUCACUCUUUUGCCUUUUGUUUCUCUCUUCUUUCUUCUGUCUUCUUGUCCCUUCUCAAUCUUAAUGUAGAGAGAAGCUACAAACUCAAAACCAGGUAAUGUUGAAAAUGUUACCAAACGGGACCACACAGCACUGACUCAUCAGAACAGACACUAGCGGUUGAACUGCAGCAAGGUCUAGAAGGUUUCCCGCUCUACCACUAACCAGUGGGUUGUGGGGAGGUCUGGGGGAAGCAGGCACCAGGCAGGGAGAUGAGAAAGCCCUCAGAAGGCUCAUGGCCAUGGCUAAAUACUACGCAGUACAGAAGUAUUUCUAUAUUUUAACAAUCAAUAUAGCUGUACAGAGUGUACCAAAUUGAGAACAAGAAAAACAGGUCCUAACAUCCCAGAAAUGGCCUGGUUCUGUCAGCCAGGACUUGGUGCUGCUAGGAGCUGGUGUUGGCACUCAUAGUCUUGUUGAACACAGACAAUUUCACAGAACCCCAAUAUCACGCCAGUCCACUCCACAACUGUAAUGAAUCAAAGCAAAAACAAGAACACUCCAUAAACAUGCCUGAGCAUGGACAAAAAUAUAAACAUUGUUCAACGCACAAAAAUGACCGGACAUCCCCCUGUUGUGCUAAUGAGUGACAGCUGCUGCUUUUUCCUUUUUUCUUUUCUUUUUUUUUUUUUUUUUUGAGACAGAGUUUCACUCUUGUUGCCUAGUCUAGGGUGCAAUGGCGCGAUCUCGGCUCACCACAACCUCCACCUCCCGGGUUCAAGCGAUUCUCCUGCCUCAGCCUCUCGAGUAGCUGUGAUUACAGGUAUGCGCCACCACGCCCGGCUAAUUUUGUAUUUUUAGUAGAGACAGGGUUUCUCCAUGUUGGUCAGGCUGGUCUCGAACUCCCGACCUCAGGUGAUCCGCCUGCCUCGGCCUCCCAAAGUGGUGGGAUUACAGAUGUGAGCCACCGCGCCCAGCCAGACAGCUGCUUCUUUACCAAUCAGAGCUCUGGCCUGAUUCCUUACUCCUACCUUAUAGAGGCCUGUUUAAGAUACCCAACAAUAAAAUCCCCCUGCUUCCUGAAAGCAUCCAGGUCUUAAACGCAUCUAAUCCUGAUUUUCCUUUUUAAAAAAAUUUUAUUUUAGAUUCAGGGGAUACAUGGGCAGGUUUAUUAUUUGGGUAUGUUGUGUGAUGCAGAGGUUUGAGCUUCUAAUGAUCCCAUCGCCAAGUAGGAACACAGUACCUCAUAGGUAGUUUUCAAUCCUUCCCUCCCUUCCUAUUUGAAAUCCCCAGUGUUCAUUGUUACCAUCUUUAUGUCCAUAUGUCAUGGACAAUGAUUAGCUCCUACUUAUAAGUGAGAACAUGUGGUAUUUGGUUUUCUGUUCCUGUGUUAAUUUGCUUAGGAUAAUGGCCUCCAGCUCCACCCAUGUUGCUGCAAAGGACAUGAUUUCAUUACUUUUUACAGCUGUGUAGUAUUCCAUGGUACACAUGUAUCACAUUUUCUUUAUUCAAACCAGCAUUGAUGGACAUCUGCAAUCCCAAAUUUUUUUUUUUUUUUUUUUUUUGAGACAGAGUCUCAGUCUGUCGCCCAGGCUGGAGUGCAGUGGCAUGAUCUCAGCUCACUGCAAGCUCUGCCUCCCAGGUUUACGCCAUUCUCCUGCCACAGCCUCCCAAGUGGCUGGGACUACAGGUGCCCACCACGCCCGGCUAUUUUUUUGUAUUUUUAGUAGAGAUCAGGUUUCACCGUGUUAGCCAGGAUGGUCUCCAUCUCCUGACCUUGUGAUCCAUCCGCCUCGGCCUCCCAAAGUGCUGCGAUUACAGGCGUGAGCCACUGCGCCCAGCCUAUAAUCCCAAUUUUUUUAACCCUCCCCCAAAUCACCAAACACAAGCCGAAACCUUCUAAUAGGUCUUUUGAAACAUCCUUCUGCUGAGGCUCCCCACAGUUCCCUAUGGUGUGGUCUCCCUCAUUGCAACCAGCAAUAAACUCAACUUGUUCAAACACAGGUGUGUGCCCAGUGGUCUUUGGCUGCAAGGUCAUUGAGGAAAUAUGAAUUCACACCCUGCCCAAAGCCUUAAGAUCCCUUUGAGGAGGGGAUUUGUGGCAAGGAGGACCUGAGCCUUCAAUGAGGACUGCUGAUUAAGUUUCCCUGUGAGGAAGAGAAAAGGGGGACCUGUUCC